AUCGACAAUGUCAAGGCCAAGAUCCAAGACAAGGAAGGUAUCCCACCGGAUCAGCAGCGAUUGAUUUUCGCCGGAAAGCAGCUCGAAGACGGACGUACCUUAGCCGAUUACAACAUCCAGAAGGAAUCAACGCUUCACCUUGUCCUUCGUCUCCGUGGUGGUGCUAAGAAGAGGAAGAAGAAGACCUACACCAAGCCUAAGAAGAUCAAGCACAAGCACAAGAAGGUCAAGCUCGCUGUUCUCCAGUUCUACAAGGUUGAUGGUUCAGGUAAGGUUCAGCGUCUGAGGAAGGAGUGCCCUAACGCUACCUGUGGUGCUGGGACUUUCAUGGCUAGCCAUUUCGAUCGUCACUACUGUGGUAAGUGUGGUCUCACCUACGUUUACCAGAAAGAAGGAGCUCAGGAAUGAAUUUCAUCUCGAUC
Molecule: long non-coding RNA, 422 nt
Filed under: Arabidopsis lyrata
Lineage: Eukaryota; Viridiplantae; Streptophyta; Magnoliopsida; Brassicales; Brassicaceae
Description: long non-coding RNA (ALYR_LNC002203)
Source: RNAcentral